CUUUAAGAUGCAUUGAUGUUUCCAUCAGCUCUCUUGCACUUUUGCCUUCCUUCUUGAGACCAGCAUGGACCAAGGAGAGGACACUGCUUCAGUAUGGGCAAAGCCCUGCUGAUCGGAAGGCCAGGGCAGACAUGUUUAUACCAUAUCACCCAGCACCUGCUGAAUCGGGAAUUGGCAGCUAACCUAAGGCUGGCCGUUAACCUUUGAGAGAGCUCUGCCCAAACAAGGACAGAAUGGGCAAAUACUGUUCUCACUCUGAGAAGCUGAAUUGUGAUCGUCAGCAAAAUGAGUUGUCAUAUGCAGCCAGCCCAAGGUGACCACAUGGGAACCAUCCUAGAGAAAGGAUUCUGUGACCUCUCUCCUGCUCUAGACUCCUGCCAGUAGUCCCCACUGGCCCCAACCCAAGACAGCAGUCU
Long non-coding RNA from Molossus molossus (Pallas's mastiff bat), 416 nucleotides. RefSeq lists it as uncharacterized. Lineage: Eukaryota; Metazoa; Chordata; Mammalia; Chiroptera; Molossidae. The transcript has 3 exons. The record is from RefSeq and is a predicted model, not a curated record.